This 253-nucleotide ribosomal RNA is filed under the name uncultured bacterium. RNAcentral's name for it is "partial 16S ribosomal RNA". It matches the Rfam family "Bacterial small subunit ribosomal RNA", at positions 524 to 776 of the family's 1533-position model. The record is from RNAcentral.
GACGUAGGGCGCGAGCGUUGUCCGGAUUUAUUGGGCGUAAAGAGCGUGUAGGCGGCCAGGUAGGUCUGGUGUGAAAACUCGAGGCUUAACCUCGAGAUGUCAUCGGAAACCAUCUGGCUAGAGUCCGGAAGAGGAAAGUGGAAUUCCUGGUGUAGCGGUGAAAUGCGCAGAUAUCAGGAAGAACACCAAUGGCGAAAGCAGCUUUCUGGGACGGUACUGACGCUGAGACGCGAAAGCGUGGGGAGCGAACAGG